Molecule: ribosomal RNA, 465 nt
Filed under: uncultured bacterium
Lineage: Bacteria
Description: partial 16S ribosomal RNA
Rfam family: Bacterial small subunit ribosomal RNA
Source: RNAcentral
CUACGGGUCGCACCAGUGGGGAAUAUUGGACAAUGGGGGAAACCCUGAUCCAGCAAUGCCGCGUGUGUGAAGAAGGCCUGCGGGUUGUAAAGCACUUUCGGUUGGGAGGACUGCUUCUAGCACUAAUAUUGUUGGAAGUUGACGUUACCUUCAGAAGAAGCACCGGCUAACUCCGUGCCAGCAGCCGCGGUAAUACGGAGGGUGCAAGCGUUAAUCGGAAUUACUGGGCGUAAAGCGCGCGUAGGCGGCUAGAUCAGUCGGGUGUGAAAGCCCCGGGCUUAACCUGGGAACUGCAUCCGAUACUGUCUAGCUUGAGUACAGGAGAGGAGAGUGGAAUUCCACAUGUAGCGGUGAAAUGCGUAGAUAUAUGGAGGAACACCGGUGGCGAAAGCGGCUCUCUGGCUUGUAACUGACGCUGAGGCUCGAAAGCGUGGGGAGCAAACAGGAUUAGAUACCCUCGUAGUC